CUGUAUUUGAAAAAAAUGGAAGAAAGAAAAUGAGCUUUACAGACUCAUAAAAUAUUUUUUUUCAAAAUAUAACAAUUUAACCAUAUUAAGAUACAUCCAUCCACAUAAAUUUUUUCAAAAUAUACCAUACAUUAUAGUGAGACAUGAAUUAUUUCUUAGUUUUUUAUGACUAUAAGCACGAUCAGCCUCGAGACAAAGUCCCCUUGAAUACAAAAUAUGUGACUAAUCAGCUUGUGCUAUUGAUCAACCCCUAUUGGUUAGGCUCGAAUGGAAAGUAGCUUUAAAUCACAUGACUAUAAUUCACCCUACGAUAGUGCAAAGAGAUUAGUCCUAAAAACUAAUACAUGAUGUAUCAGCAUAUGCCAAUGGUCAACAAUAAUUGGCUAGGCCCAAAAGAAUUAGCUAUGUCAGUA
RNAcentral lists this long non-coding RNA (413 nucleotides) under Elaeis guineensis (African oil palm). Its description in RNAcentral is "long non-coding RNA (EGUI_LNC049135)". The record is from RNAcentral. Lineage: Eukaryota; Viridiplantae; Streptophyta; Magnoliopsida; Arecales; Arecaceae.